UCAUUCCAGCCAUCAGCUGAAUCGCGCGUGUUCAUCGCGACUACUUUUGUCUCUUCUGAACAAAAUUAAGUUAAUCUAUUGAUAUUCAUUAUACAAACAAUUUAGCAUAUGCUUAAAUCGGGCGUGAUUAAGGUUUUACAAGGCUGAUUGCACGCAUUCGGUGUUCAUCAAUCGCGGAUUUAUUUUCGGUGCACCUGUGUGCGUGUGUGGUUCCGUCGGCUGACGGUUAUCUUCUCGCGCCUUAAAAAAUGGAUUUAAGAUUAAUUCCUGCAUCUAGACAACGUUGAUGUCCAGGAAAGAAGUUUGUCAAUGCACCAACCAUGGAGUUUAUAAUAUGACGGUGUUCUGCACCCGAUCCCGAUAUCGUAGGAGAACCAUUCUUGCAUCAGAUUGUGUUCUGCACCCGAUCCCGAUAUCGUAGGAGAACCAUUCUUGCAUCAGAUUGUAAGUAAUUUAUUUCUUUAUCGUUUUUAUAACUAAUUUUUUUGAUUAGCUCAAGAAUUAGUGACGAAAAUUGCAUUUUUCUGUUGCAAAGGACUACAUUUUGAUUGUUUUAGGUGUUUUCCAUCCGAUCCCGAUAUCGUAGGAGAACCAUUUUUGCAUCAGAUUGUAAGAAAUUUAUUUCUUUAUCGUUUUCAUAACUAAUUUUUUUUUAGGUGUUCUGCACCCGAUCCCGAUAUCGUAGGAGAACCAUUCUUGCAUCAGAUUGUGUUCUGCACCCAAAGUCGACAUCGUAGUAGAACCAUUCUUGCAUCAGAUUGUUUUCUGCACUCGAUCCCGAUAUCGUAGGAGAUCCAUUCUUGCAUCAGAUUCUGUUCUGCACCGAAGCCCGAUAUCGUAGGAGAACCAUUUUUGCAUCAGAUUGUAAGUAAUUAAUUUCUUUAUCAUUUUCAUACAUAACUUUUAUGAAAACUUAUGAAUUAGCGAGAAAAAUUGACUUUUUGUAUUUCCAAGCACUGAUUUUUGCUGAUUACUGAAACGGUUUGUUUACAUUUAGUCAUUCUGAAUAGUUUUUGGAUUAUAUAUAACAUGGAUUGUGUUUUAUUAAUUUUCGUUCAAGUGAGUGAAAUAGAAAUACCAGGGUGAGCUGAUAGCACGUGAGUAAGAAUAAGAGAGCAAUACUCUAAGUGUCAUGCUCAAUCCAUGUUCUCUAUAUGAUCUGCAGAAUUUUCUGCACCUUGUUUAUGCUCUCAGUUCGACCUUGGCUUGCGCAGCACGCUGUGCGCUGACAUUUGAAAUUUGAACAGUACCGCACCGGUCGCCGUAUCGGCUUUAAGUGACAAUUCGCUAUACUGCUCAGAACAUCUUGCGCGGUCGUAUUGGCUGUUGUUUUUUCGUGUUUAGUCAGUCGGUGGUACGCAAUUGUGCUGCGUGUUGUGUUUCACCGCCGGUCUUCAUCGCGACUGUUAGCAUUUCGGGAGACUUUAAUACGGUGCGAGCCUUAUAAUUGUUUAGUCAUCGAUUGCUAUCAACUACUGAACAAGUGAUUUAUCUUGAAUCGACUUGAGACUCAAGACACCACGUGCGCGUGUUUGAGCCAUCGGCCGCCGGCCGUCGGAUCUCUUUCGUUGGGCUACGGAUUCCAAUUGGAUUUAUAGUCCAAUAUGGAUUUGUUAAUUAGAAGAGACAAAUCACGCGAUUUCUCUGGGUGGCAUAGUUGUUUGUGCAAAAGUAAUACAUUUUCAGGAUAUGCGUCUUAAAUCAUAUUUCAUAUGAAGCUUAUGUGAGUGCAACAUAGCGAAGGCUUGUGUUGUUGUUUUUAAAAAGUUGAAUAAAGUAGAAACAUAAAUAGAAGAAUCAAAUAUUAAUGGUAAAAACACUCGGUGGUCGAGUGGAGACGUGCACCUGCUGGCAUGCUAGCAGACACGGAUCGAAUCUCAGGUAUAGAAGGCAUUUUUCUCAAAUAUAAAAAUAUCAGGUGUAAUUUGGGUUGCAUAUAUGAAUUGCAACGAAAUAUAAGAGAAAUUGAAAAACAUGUGAAGGCAAUACGAGAAGUAAGAAAGUAAGUGGAGAAACGAGAACAGAGAAAUAGAAGAAGGAGUAGUAAAGAAUAGGAGAAGAUAGAAGGAAGAGAACAGAGAGUAGAGCAGAGAAAAAGAGGAGAUAGAAGAAAGAGAACAGGGGAGGAUCAGAUUUUUAAAUUUUUUGGCACGUGUCGUUA
This is a long non-coding RNA of Dalotia coriaria, 2161 nucleotides long. RefSeq lists it as uncharacterized. NCBI's taxonomy places the organism in Eukaryota, Metazoa, Arthropoda, Insecta, Coleoptera, Staphylinidae. The record is from RefSeq and is a predicted model, not a curated record. The transcript is spliced from 7 exons.